Molecule: long non-coding RNA, 761 nt
Organism: Alnus glutinosa
Lineage: Eukaryota; Viridiplantae; Streptophyta; Magnoliopsida; Fagales; Betulaceae
Exons: 3
Source: RefSeq, a predicted model, not a curated record
AAGAGGCAGUCCAAUGGUCUUUUCUUUCUUUUUCUCCCGAAGAGGCAGUCCAAUGGUCUUUUCUUUCUUUUUCUCCCGAAGAGGCUACUGCCUCUUGUUCUAUUUUUUCUCUCUUUAAGGUUUUUCAGAGAAAAACUUGAAAAGCCUUGAUAUAUGAAGAUGUAACGGUCCAAAUUUAAGUCUGACUUCGAAAACGUGAUCAAAGAAGCUCGAUCUAUAUUUCUACUUAUUAGUUAAGCUUGCAAAGAUUCGUCAAACACCAGCAUACUGGUCACCAGAAGUAGCGAGUUUGUAAUUAGAAGGGAUGAGUUGUGGAACUUUGGCAUCACUUGGACCAAUCUUGGCAAUAAUCUUCUCGUCUAUAGCAGCUACAUAGACAUCCGCAUCAGCCGCUAGAAUUCGCAAGGAACUGGUGGGUUUGAUCCCAUUUCUCGAUCGGAUCUUAAUGAGUUCAGUGAUCGGACCUUUGAUACCUCCGUUGAAGGUAUCAAAGAAGUGAUCAUAAAACUGUCACAAAAUAAAAAGAUUUGCAUUAAUUCACCUAAUACAAACAAGAGCGUAUUUGUUUUGUAAGAAAUCAUUAGUAAGAGUAGCAUAUGUAAUUAAGUAAUCAUAGUGACAAGGGCAGAAAUUUCAUCGGCUUUCAUGUUUGUAAACCUUUUCCUUAAGGGUGCACUGCAUGAAAUGAACAGCAGAAGCAGUUUAUCUAGUUUCUGGGCAAUUGAAGAAAUUGUUGUCAAUAAAAAUUUAUCUGCUCUAAA